AAAGCCCCUGGCUCAACCAGGGAGGGUCAUUGGAAACUGGAGAACUUGAGUGCAGAAGAGGAAAGUGGAAUUCCAUGUGUAGCGGUGAAAUGCGUAGAUAUAUGGAGGAACACCAGUGGCGAAGGCGACUUUCUGGUCUGUAACUGACGCUGAGGCUCGAAAGCAUGGGGAGCAAACAGGAUUAGAUACCCUGGUAGUCCAUGCCGUAAACGAUGAGUGCUAAGUGUUGGAGGGUUUCCGCCCUUCAGUGCUGCAGCUAACGCAUUAAGCACUCCGCCUGGGGAGUACGACCGCAAGGUUGAAACUCAAAGGAAUUGACGGGGGCCCGCACAAGCGGUGGAGCAUGUGGUUUAAUUCGAAGCAACGCGAAGAACCUUACCAGGUCUUGACAUCCCUUGACCACUCUAGAGAUAGAGCUUUCCCUUCGGGGACAAAGUGACAGGUGGUGCAUGGUUGUCGUCAGCUCGUGUCGUGAGAUGUUGGGUUAAGUCCCGCAACGAGCGCAACCCUUAUUAUUAGUUGCCAGCAUUCAGUUGGGCAUUCUAGUGAGACUGCCGGUGAUAAACCGGAGGAAGGUGGGGAUGACGUCAAAUCAUCAUGCCCCUUAUGACCUGGGCUACACACGUGCUACAAUGGAUGGUACAACGAGUCGCAAAACCGCGAGGUUAAGCUAAUCUCUUAAAGCCAUUCUCAGUUCGGAUUGUAGGCUGCAAUUCGCCUACAUGAAGCCGGAAUCGCUAGUAAUCGCGGAUCAGAACGCCGCGGUGAAUACGUUCCCGGGCCUUGUACACACCGCCCGUCACACCACGAGAGUUUGUAACACCCAAAGUCGGUGAGGUAACCUUCGGGAGCCAGCCGCCUAAGGUGGGACAGAUAAUUGGGGUG
This 885-nucleotide ribosomal RNA is filed under the name uncultured bacterium. Its description in RNAcentral is "bacterial SSU rRNA". It matches the Rfam family "Bacterial small subunit ribosomal RNA", at positions 597 to 1482 of the family's 1533-position model. The record is from RNAcentral.